Molecule: long non-coding RNA, 2308 nt
Filed under: Rhinopithecus roxellana (golden snub-nosed monkey)
Lineage: Eukaryota; Metazoa; Chordata; Mammalia; Primates; Cercopithecidae
Description: lncRNA (ENSRROG00000046071.1)
Source: RNAcentral
CCGUUCCUCCCCCCCCCCACUGGGCUUCCUAUUUACCGAAAGCGGAGCCCCUCGCCUCUCUCGGCUCUCACCAGCCGGCCCUGCUUUCCCGCGCGGGGGUUCCGCGCCCGCUCGCGGGCCGUAGGGAGCGGGAGAGGCGGAGGCGGCCCGUGGCCAAAGCACCCGCCAGGCGCCGAGGAAUAUGAAACUGGUGUCAAAAUGACAUCCAGAUUUGGGAAAACAUACAGUAGGAAAGGUGGAAAUGGCAGUUCAAAAUUUGAUGAAGUCUUUUCCAACAAACGGACCACCCUUAGCACAAAAUGGGGAGAGACCACAUUUAUGGCUAAAUUAGGGCAGAAGAGGCCCAAUUUCAAACCAGAUAUCCAAGAAAUUCCGAAGAAACCUAAAGUGGAAGAAGAAAGUACUGGAGAUCCUUUUGGAUUUGAUAGUGAUGAUGAGUCUCUACCAGUUUCUUCAAAGAAUUUAGCCCAGGGUAAGGGUUCCUCUUACUCAGAAUCUAGUGAAGCUGCUCAGCUGGAAGAGGUCACUUCAGUACUUGAAGCUAAUAGCAAAAUUAGUCAUGUGGUGGUUGAAGACACUGUUAUAUCUGAUAAAUGCUUCCCUUUGGAGGACACUUUGCUUGGGAAAGAAAAGAGCACAAACCGAAUUGUAGAAGAUGAUGCAAGCAUAAGUAGCUGUAAUAAAUUAAUAACUUCAGAUAAAGUGGAGAAUUUUCAUGAAGAACGUGAGAAGAAUAGUCACCAUAUUCACAAAAAUGCUGACGACAGUACUAAGAAACCCAAUGCAGAAACUACAGUGGCUUCUGAAAUCAAGGAAGCAAACGAUACUUGGAACUCCCAGUUUGGGAAAAGGCCAGAAUCACCAUCAGAAAUAUCUCCAAUCAAGGGAUCUGUAAGAACUGGUUUGUAUGAAUGGGAUAAUGAUUUUGAAGAUAUCAGAUCAGAAGACUGUAUUUUAAGUUUGGAUAGUGAUCCCCUUUUGGAGAUGAAGGAUGACGAUUUUAAAAAUCGAUUGGAAAAUCUAAAUGAAGCCAUUGAGGAAGAUAUUGUACAAAGUGUUCUUAGGCCAACCAACUGUAGGACGUACUGUAGGGCCAAUAAAGCGAAAUCCUCCCAAGGAGCGUCAAAUUUUGAUAAGCUGAUGGAUGGCACCAGUCAGGCCUUAGCCAAAGCAAACAGUGAAUCGAGUAAAGAUGGCCUGAAUCAGGCAAAGAAAGGCGGUGUAAGUUGUGGGACCAGUUUUAGAGGGACAGUUGGACGGACUAGAGAUUACACAGUUUUACAUCCAUCUUGCUUGUCAGUUUGUAAUGUUACCAUACAGGAUACUAUGGAACGCAGCAUGGAUGAGUUCACUGCAUCCACUCCUGCAGAUUUGGGAGAAGCUGGUCGUCUCAGAAAAAAGGCAGACAUUGCAACUUCUAAGACCACUACUCGAUUUCGACCUAGUAAUACCAAAUCCAAAAAGGAUGUUAAACUUGAAUUUUUUGGUUUUGAAGAUCAUGAGACAGGAGGUGAUGAAGGGGGUUCUGGAAGUUCUAAUUACAAAAUUAAGUAUUUUGGCUUUGAUGAUCUCAGUGAAAGCGAUGAUGAUGAAGAUGAUGACUGUCAAGUGGAAAGAAAGACAAGCAAAAAAAGAACUAAAACAGCUCCAUCACCCUCCUUGCAGCCUCCCCCAGAAAGCAAUGAUAAUUCCCAGGACAGUCAGUCUGGUACUAACAAUGCAGAAAACUUGGAUUUUACAGAGGACUUGCCUGGUGUGCCUGAAAGUGUGAAGAAACCCAUAAAUAAACAAGGAGAUAAAUCAAAGGAAAAUACCAGAAAGAUUUUUAGUGGCCCCAAACGGGUAAGUAAAGCACUAUCAGUGAUUUUUAUUAUUUAUUUGUUAUUGGAGGGCUCAACUCUUUAUUUUUUAUUUGAAAGUUACUAAUAAACAUAGCAACUGUCUUUCAAAGGAUAUAUGUAAGUCCUUUUUUCAGAUGUAACCCUUUUUUUAAAAAUUGUAAAAUAUACAUAUUUUUUGAACCAUUCUCAAGUGUAUAAAUCAGUGGCAUUACUUUCACGGUGUUAUGUAACCAUCACAAUUAUCUAUACCCAAAACCUUUUUAUCAUAUCCAGCACAAACUCUGUACCCAUUAACCAAUAACUUCCUCCCCCACCCCAUGCCUAGUCAAUACUAUUCCACUCUGCUCUAGGAAUAUGCUUUAUCUAAGUAUCUUAUAUAAAUAGAAUCAUACAAUAUUUAUCAUAAACCAGAUACAAAAGGACAAACAUUGUAUGAAUCUGGUUUAUUUCACUAAGCCUAAUUUGUC